RNAcentral lists this ribosomal RNA (466 nucleotides) under uncultured bacterium. Its description in RNAcentral is "bacterial SSU rRNA". It matches the Rfam family "Bacterial small subunit ribosomal RNA", at positions 330 to 793 of the family's 1533-position model. The record is from RNAcentral.
GCCAGACUCCUACGGGAGGCAGCAGUGAGGAAUAUUGGUCAAUGGGCGCGAGCCUGAACCAGCCAAGUCGCGUGAGGGAGGACGGCCCUACGGGUUGUAAACCUCUUUUGCCGGGGAGCAACGGGCGUCACGUGUGGCGCCACUGAGAGUACCCGGAGAAAAAGCAUCGGCUAACUCCGUGCCAGCAGCCGCGGUAAUACGGAGGAUGCGAGCGUUAUCCGGAUUUAUUGGGUUUAAAGGGUGCGUAGGCGGAUCUUUAAUUCAGAGGGUAAAUGGGGGGGCUCACCCCCUCCCCGCCAUUGAAACUGGCGCUCUUGAGUGGAAGAGAAGUAUGCGGAAUGCGUGGUGUAGCGGUGAAAUGCAUAGAUAUCACGCAGAACCCCGAUUGCGAAGGCAGCAUGCCGGCUUCCGACUGACGCUGAAGCACGAAAGCGUGGGGAUCGAACAGGAUUAGAUACCCGCGUAC